RNAcentral lists this ribosomal RNA (253 nucleotides) under uncultured bacterium. Its description in RNAcentral is "partial 16S ribosomal RNA". It matches the Rfam family "Bacterial small subunit ribosomal RNA", at positions 524 to 776 of the family's 1533-position model. The record is from RNAcentral.
UCCGUAGGUACCGAGCGUUAUCCGGAUUCAUUGGGCGUAAAGAGCUCGUAGGCGGCUAUUCAAGUCGAACGUGAAAUCUCGGGGCUCAACUCCGAGCCUGCGUUCGAUACUGGGUAGCUAGAGUCUGGUAGGGGGAUCUGGAAUUCCUGGUGUAGCGGUGGAAUGCGCAGAUAUCAGGAGGAACACCGGUGGCGAAGGCGGCAUCCUGGACCGACACUGACGCUGAGGAGCGAAAGCCAGGGGAGCAAACGGG